GACGAACCGUGCGAACGUUGUUCGGAAUCACUGGGCUUAAAGGGCGCGUAGGCGGGCUAUCAAGUCCGGGGUGAAAUCCUCCAGCUUAACUGGAGAACGGCCUCGGAUACUGAUGGUCUCGAGGAGGAUAGGGGCACACGGAACUGUGGGUGGAGCGGUGAAAUGCGUUGAUAUCCAUAGGAACUCCGGUGGCGAAAGCGGUGUGCUGGAUCCUUUCUGACGCUGAGGCGCG
This 232-nucleotide ribosomal RNA is filed under the name uncultured bacterium. RNAcentral's name for it is "partial 16S ribosomal RNA". It matches the Rfam family "Bacterial small subunit ribosomal RNA", at positions 524 to 755 of the family's 1533-position model. The record is from RNAcentral.